RNAcentral lists this ribosomal RNA (853 nucleotides) under Salmonella enterica subsp. enterica serovar Typhimurium. RNAcentral describes it as "partial 23S ribosomal RNA". It matches the Rfam family "Bacterial large subunit ribosomal RNA", at positions 161 to 1053 of the family's 2925-position model. Lineage: Bacteria; Pseudomonadati; Pseudomonadota; Gammaproteobacteria; Enterobacterales; Enterobacteriaceae. The record is from RNAcentral.
AAUCCAUAGGUUAAUGAGGCGAACCGGGGGAACUGAAACAUCUAAGUACCCCGAGGAAAAGAAAUCAACCGAGAUUCCCCCAGUAGCGGCGAGCGAACGGGGAGGAGCCCAGAGCCUGAAUCAGCAUGUGUGUUAGUGGAAGCGUCUGGAAAGGCGCGCGAUACAGGGUGACAGCCCCGUACACAAAAGCGCAUGUGCUGUGAGCUCGAUGAGUAGGGCGGGACACGUGGUAUCCUGUCUGAAUAUGGGGGGACCAUCCUCCAAGGCUAAAUACUCCUGACUGACCGAUAGUGAACCAGUACCGUGAGGGAAAGGCGAAAAGAACCCCGGCGAGGGGAGUGAAAAAGAACCUGAAACCGUGUACGUACAAGCAGUGGGAGCACCCUUCGGGGUGUGACUGCGUACCUUUUGUAUAAUGGGUCAGCGACUUAUAUUCUGUAGCAAGGUUAACCGUAUAGGGGAGCCGGAGGGAAACCGAGUCUUAACCGGGCGUUAAGUUGCAGGGUAUAGACCCGAAACCCGGUGAUCUAGCCAUGGGCAGGUUGAAGGUUGGGUAACACUAACUGGAGGACCGAACCGACUAAUGUUGAAAAAUUAGCGGAUGACCUGUGGCUGGGGGUGAAAGGCCAAUCAAACCGGGAGAUAGCUGGUUCUCCCCGAAAGCUAUUUAGGUAGCGCCUCGUGAAUUCAUCUCCGGGGGUAGAGCACUGUUUCGGCUAGGGGGCCAUCCCGGCUUACCAACCCGAUGCAAACUGCGAAUACCGGAGAAUGUUAUCACGGGAGACACACGGCGGGUGCUAACGUCCGUCGUGAAGAGGGAAACAACCCAGACCGCCAGCUAAGGUCCCAAAGU